Molecule: long non-coding RNA, 431 nt
Organism: Oreochromis niloticus (Nile tilapia)
Lineage: Eukaryota; Metazoa; Chordata; Actinopteri; Cichliformes; Cichlidae
Exons: 3
Source: RefSeq, a predicted model, not a curated record
UUUUGUCUGGCAACUCCCAGGGAUCACGGCAGGUCCAGAUAACAUUUUAAUCUUCUUUGACUCGACCUUUCCAGAGUUCAACACAGAGAGAAGAGGCCUUCUCCUGGCAACCCUUCCUAAAAAGCCUUACUUGUCCAGACUUUUUCUAAUUGUACUGUCAUAAACCUUAUAGUUUAACAAUCUCUGACCAUUGUACACUCUGCUCUGGGGGUGAAUUUGAUGGGGCAUCCAUUAAUGCAGUCCUGUGACAACAUUCUUUAUGGUAUCACUGUAUAAAACUAAUUCCUACAGCAAAGAAUGUAUAUAACACUUAAAACAUACUAUAAAUAAAAGAAUCUGUGAAAACAUGGUGUUUCCUGUUGAUUUUAAACCAAAGCUCUGAAUCUGAUCUGCUCCAUGCAUGUUAUGUCCUACCAUGACUAACUUUCCAU